This 447-nucleotide ribosomal RNA is filed under the name uncultured bacterium. Its description in RNAcentral is "bacterial SSU rRNA". It matches the Rfam family "Bacterial small subunit ribosomal RNA", at positions 354 to 796 of the family's 1533-position model. The record is from RNAcentral.
GUGGGGAAUUUUGCGCAAUGGGGGAAACCCUGACGCAGCAACGCCGCGUGAGUGAUGAAGGCCUUCGGGUUGUAAAGCUCUUUUAGUGGGGAAGAAAUCCUGUAGUUAACGCUGCAGGUAUGACGGUACCCACAGAAAAAGUUCCGGCUAACUACGUGCCAGCAGCCGCGGUAAUACGUAGGGAGCAAGCGUUGUUCGGAAUUAUUGGGCGUAAAGAGCGCGUAGGUGGUUCAGUAAGUCCGAUGUGAAAUCCCAGAGCUCAACUCUGGAACUGCAUUGGAAACUGCUGGGCUUGAGUGCGGGAGAGGUGAGUGGAAUUCCCAGUGUAGAGGUGAAAUUCGUAGAUAUUGGGAGGAACACCGGUGGCGAAGGCGGCUCACUGGACCGCAACUGACGCUGAGGCGCGAAAGCUCGGGGAGCAAACGGGAUUAGAAACCCCGGUAGUCC